AUAUAUGUUAAGUGGAAAAGGAUGUGGCGUUGCCCAGACAACUAGGAUGUUGGCUUAGAAGCAGCCAUCAUUUAAAGAGUGCGUAAUAGCUCACUAGUCGAGUGACACUGCGCCGAAAAUGUACCGGGGCUAAACAUAUUACCGAAGCUGUGGAUUGUCCUUUGGACAAUGGUAGGAGAGCGUUCUAAGGGCGUUGAAGCAUGAUCGUAAGGACAUGUGGAGCGCUUAGAAGUGAGAAUGCCGGUGUGAGUAGCGAAAGACGGGUGAGAAUCCCGUCCACCGAUUGACUAAGGUUUCCAGAGGAAGGCUCGUCCGCUCUGGGUUAGUCGGGUCCUAAGCUGAGGCCGACAGGCGUAGGCGAUGGAUAACAGGUUGAUAUUCCUGUACCACCUAUAAUCGUUUUAAUCGAUGGGGGGACGCAGUAGGAUAGGCGAAGCGUGCGAUUGGAUUGCACGUCUAAGCAGUAAGGCUGAGUAUUAGGCAAAUCCGGUACUCGUUAAGGCUGAGCUGUGAUGGGGAGAAGACAUUGUGUCUUCGAGUCGUUGAUUUCACACUGCCGAGAAAAGCCUCUAGAUAGAAAAUAGGUGCCCGUACCGCAAACCGACACAGGUAGUCAAGAUGAGAAUUCUAAGGUGAGCGAGCGAACUCUCGUUAAGGAACUCGGCAAAAUGACCCCGUAACUUCGGGAGAAGGGGUGCUCUUUAGGGUUAACGCCCAGAAGAGCCGCAGUGAAUAGGCCCAAGCGACUGUUUAUCAAAAACACAGGUCUCUGCUAAACCGUAAGGUGAUGUAUAGGGGCUGACGCCUGCCCGGUGCUGGAAGGUUAAGAGGAGUGGUUAGCUUCUGCGAAGCUACGAAUCGAAGCCCCAGUAAACGGCGGCCGUAACUAUAACGGUCCUAAGGUAGCGAAAUUCCUUGUCGGGUAAGUUCCGACCCGCACGAAAGGCGUAACGAUUUGGGCACUGUCUCAACGAGAGACUCGGUGAAAUCAUAGUACCUGUGAAGAUGCAGGUUACCCGCGACAGGACGGAAAGACCCCGUGGAGCUUUACUGUAGCCUGAUAUUGAAAUUCGGCACAGCUUGUACAGGAUAGGUAGGAGCCUUUGAAACGUGAGCGCUAGCUUACGUGGAGGCGCUGGUGGGAUACUACCCUA
Molecule: ribosomal RNA, 1154 nt
Filed under: Staphylococcus aureus
Lineage: Bacteria; Bacillati; Bacillota; Bacilli; Caryophanales; Staphylococcaceae
Description: partial 23S ribosomal RNA
Rfam family: Bacterial large subunit ribosomal RNA
Source: RNAcentral